AAUCCAUAUAGCCCAAAAUGAAUAUGAUCUGUUCUUUCCACUCCGAAUAAUUAGAACCAUUACGUAUAGAAACAGAUUCACCAAUAGGAACAGAAAAUGGAGUCAUAGCUGAAAAAUAAAAUGCAUGCUUUAUCAAUAAAAUACCACAUCAUAAAUUACCACACCAAAAUUAAAAAAAUACACUUUAUAUGACAUCACAUCCCCUCCUUUGGGAGCAGAGUUAUGAGCAUAAGUAUUUUUCGAUCUUUAUGCAUAUACUUUGUAUGCCAUCACAACCCCUCCUUUGGGAGCAGAGUUACGAGCAUAAAUAUGCAAUCAUUCUUUAUGCAUAUACUUUAUAUGACAUCACAACCCCUCCUUUGGGAGCAGAGUUAUGAGCAUAAGUAUUUUUCGUUCCUUAUGCAUAUACUUUAUAUGACAUCACAACCCCUCCUUUGGGAGCAGAGUUAUGAGUAUAAAUAUGCAAUCUCUUUAUCAGAGACUAAUUAAACUUUCUGCAAGUCGUAGUAAUUUUAAAUUUUUCAUAUGAAAAAAUCGUUAGCUUUGGCCAGGCAAAUUUCUCCAAACAAGUUAUAAGAAAAUUACCAUCCUGCACCACCCAUGUACCUUCAUGUCUAGACCUUAUUUGGGAGCAGACUAAACAUAAUAUCAGGGUGCAAUUUUCGCAUGCACUUCUUUAAAGCAAUUAAUUUAUCUUUUCUUCCGGUCGAGGCCGCUUUGGCUUGCACCCGAACAGUUGAAGCAAUAAAUUAAUCUGACUUAGUGC
This 766-nucleotide long non-coding RNA is filed under the name Ananas comosus (pineapple). Its description in RNAcentral is "long non-coding RNA (ACOM_LNC029404)". The record is from RNAcentral. Lineage: Eukaryota; Viridiplantae; Streptophyta; Magnoliopsida; Poales; Bromeliaceae.